AGUUUUGGUGCUGUGAAAUGGUACCUAGUUCCCUGCAAUUUGAACAUUUUAACAUGUGUAAGCUCUCUUAAACGUUUAGGAGUGCUAAAAAAAUCUUAUUGUAACAACUAUAAUGUAAUAUAAACAUUAUCCUUCUUAAAAUACUACAGUGACAAUGACAUUAUGAAUCUGCAACCAUUUUUUGUUAUUAGAUUUGCUUACCAAUUGGAGAAUUUGAACUCUUUGGAUCAAAAUGGAUUAGAAUACAUGAGGGUUUUGAAAAAAAAAAAACUGUAAUUUUUUUAGAGAGCACAACUAAAGAAUUUUAAUAUACUCUUAAGUCUUAACUGCU
RNAcentral lists this long non-coding RNA (331 nucleotides) under Salvia miltiorrhiza (redroot sage). RNAcentral's name for it is "long non-coding RNA (SMIL_LNC011217)". The record is from RNAcentral. Lineage: Eukaryota; Viridiplantae; Streptophyta; Magnoliopsida; Lamiales; Lamiaceae.